Long non-coding RNA from Numida meleagris (helmeted guineafowl), 5664 nucleotides. RefSeq lists it as uncharacterized. The record is from RefSeq and is a predicted model, not a curated record. NCBI's taxonomy places the organism in Eukaryota, Metazoa, Chordata, Aves, Galliformes, Numididae. The transcript is spliced from 5 exons.
GCUUGGAGCAUGGGCAGAGCCUCCUUGCAAUUGUUUGCUCAGCUGUGCAGACAACCUGGAGGCAAACAGACGUUUUCAGUAGUAUGCAUGGCUCAGCAGCGUAAGGACAGCUCAUUUUUCCUCUUCAGAGGCAUGCAAACCAUACCUAGCUGGGGAAGGAAGGAUCCCUUGCUUGCAAAACUCAGUGUAUAACUACCACAGAUAUUUCAUGAUCAGUUAUCUUCAAUGUACCCAUCCCCUUGAGCUGGAAGACAGGUAUGGGGAGCAGAAUCAAUCCCCCAUGAUUCAAGAGGAAACAGUGACCUGCUAUUGCACCUAGAUUAUCACAAGUUUAUGGAGCCAGAUGAGAUCCACGCAACCUAACUGAAAGGGUGUUGUAACAAGUCUAUUUGGAUGCUACAAACAACAUAUAUUUCCUGGAAUAGAAAUCAACCUUUUCACAGAAUGCUUUCUUGGUAUCCCAGCUCCCCUCAGAAGACAGAACAGUAUUCAUUGCCUCCAAAUAGCUAUGAUCUCCACAAUGUGAGGCUUGCCAACUCCAAGUUAAUCGUCACAGGCUGUGGCAUUGCCUACCUCCAAAUAUACGCCAUUUGUUACAUCCAUGUGCUCACAUCUGCUCUGCUAUCAAGACAAUGAGGUAAGAUCUUCAUGUAGUGCCAUUAAUAUUUCACAAAAAUGGAAUAGAAAAAUAUUUACAAAGUCAUAGCAAUAUUUCAUGUUGACACUUUUGCAUCUUUCCUCCAUUAUUAGAGCACAUUAGGCCUGUAGGUUCACCUUGUGGUUCAGUAUAGUGCGUGCAGGUAUUGCUCACCUGCAGUGGUAGUCCAUGAAAGGCCUUUUUCACCCCCAUCCAUUCAUUGCUCCUGAUGCAGAAAGUUUGCCUCCAUUUUUUCUGGCCUCAAAGCACCAUUUAAAGCAAAUGUCUACCUACCUUUUAUGGGAGCAGUUUGUGCAGAAUCAUGAAAAAGGAAUUCUUCACAAAAAAAAAGCAGUAGUUCUUGGACAGUCAGGACAAGUAAAUACCCAUGAGCAGACUCACCUCCAGGAAAUAAGUUUUGCAAGACCAAUAAUCCACAAUACACAACUUACUUUGCAAGUUUGGCCGAAGGAAAGCAUGAAAUUUCAUGAGUUGUCACACUGUGGAGGGCAGACACUGAGCCAGCAACACUGUACCAGCAAAGACCCAGAGUGUGGAAUCUGGGGAGAGAGGCAGAGUAGAGCACUACACAACUUCCCCAGUGGUUAAUACAACCUCUAGGUGAAGUCUAAGACUAAAGAAUAAAACAACACAUUUAAAAGGACCUUAGCUUGGAGAUUUGGCUUGGAGACUAAUCAUAAAUGCAUUAUGUCUGUAAAAGGGUUUUUUUGUAAAGCUCAUUUUGAUAUAUUUCUGCAUUGCACCAUAAAUGCUCCCUGACACUUCCAGUGGUAUAGUUCCCAUGGGUAAUGCUCUUACAUACACACAUACACAAUCCUGGCCAAUCAAUUCAAGAAAGGAUAUGUUCUGCCCUGGGUUAUUUUUUCACUCGUUUUACUUUCACACAGGAAAACAGAGUGAAAUUACUUAGCCAGUAAAAUGCAGAAGAUUUGGUGACUUUUAAAACAGUUAAUCUGAGGAUAAGGCCUCAGUUUAAGCAAGCCUCAGGUUGUGGAAAUCAAGGAACAGUGAUAAAAAAUGAUGUUUCUUUCAUUAGUAUAGUGGGAUCUAGGACCAUAUAUAACGUCUUGACCAGUCAUUUUGCCCAAAGUUCACAUUCUGUUUAUUCUGCAAAAGACUGUAGACCUAACAUUUCUUAAGAUAUGUGAAAAAUAUCAACAGGGAGAUAUUGACCUCGAUUUUAUAAGAUGUUGAUUUUAAUUUUUUUUUCAAGGAGAGAGAUCUAGAUUUAAGUACAAGGAAGAAGUUAGUCUGCUUUGCUCUAGUGAUUCUGGUCACCGAUAAUAUUAAGCUGAGCUUUUACUAAUAAACUAUUUGUUGUAAAAAUAACAGGAUUUUUUAAAUCUGAAAGUUAAAGGAGGUUAAAAGGGCCCUGUUUCAACUUUUGAGCACUUUUAUUUUCAUUGGAAAAAUAAACCUUUUUCUUUAUUAAAGUCUAAAAAUUAAAGGGUUUAAAAUGGCUUCAAAACCCUUGUGUGCUGAAGAAAACAGAUGCUGUGACUGUGAAUAACUCCUUCAUUUGACAAGAGUGGAACCAAAGCAAGAAAUGGCUAGAGAUCAGUCAAGCUUAUGAACACCAAAUCCUGAGAGAAAGUUUUGCCAGCCUGCUGAGUAUACUGAAGUGUGUUUUUAGUGGAGAAAAUCUCCAAUGGGAUACAUCUUGCCCUGAGUUGAGGAUUUAUGAGCUUAAACCACUUUCCCUAGCCCAGAAGUUGUGCUCCUUAAGGUGGCAUAUAUCCACUGUAGUCCUCAGAUACGCUGGUAUAAUUGAGCUGUGGAUUAUUAAGUAGUGAAAUGACAGAGGUGCAGGAAACACUGCAUGAGAAGAUACAAUUACACAGAGCCCAUGAAUUUGCAUAGCUACCAUGCAUUUGAUACAGCUACAGAAACCUCUCAGUGCCUCAAUAUCUAUAUGACACUACCCUAUAACCAGAUCCAUUUUCUUAGAUACUUACAUAGAGGAAAGAUUAGUAUAUCUAAGAUGGGAUAAAGGCAGAAUGAAGGUCUGUAUAUUCAAGAUUUUCAUUCAAAAACCUGUUCUCUGAUUACUGGAUAAACCUGGAGGCACCUAUGCUUCAUAAUGUCUUCAGCUCUCAUUUUUAAAGUUUCCCAGAUACCUGAAGCUCUUCUUUUCUGGUAUGUGCAGAAACAUCUCAUUUCUGGUAGCAUUCAGCAGCUCUGUUCCUCUUAGCCCCUGUGCUUAGAAACCGCUCAGAAGUUUUGUCCCAUUGCCUUUCAUAAGGAGCUAGAAACACCUGGCAAGUCAAGGACAUCCCUGGACCUGGAUUAAGACCACUAAAAAUAUGGUAAUUUCAAUUUAUUUCCUUAAUACUAUGACCACAGAAAGACCUAAUAGAUCUGCAAUUACUAUAUCUUGUCCAGAGUGGAAAGUUAUGUUUGGAAGAGACCCUCUCAAGACCAGUCCACAGGACUCUGCAUAUUAGUAACCCAUCUAUUUUUUUAGUUUCUCUUCUUAUCACAUGGGUUUUCUGAGAUGUGAGGUUAUGGCAGUUUUCUAAUUAAACAGUUGAAGAACUGGGAGGAGAAACAAAGAAAAAUGGAUCAAAGUUUCUCCAUAUAAAAUGGACAGUGAUAAUAAUAAAUUUCUAAUAAUGAACAAGGCUUAGGGGUAAAACCUCAGUUCUGAAAAGUGUGGAGUGAUGGUCCAAAAUGUUGUCAUAAAAGAAAUGAUUUUAAAUAAAAAAACUUUUAGAGACAAAAAGUUUGAUUUGUAAAGUCCUUGAAGCUCAAAUAAAUAUUUCUGAAACUAUGUACUGGAUUCUUCAUCCAAAAAAAAAUAAAAAAAAAAAUCAACGUCCAGAUUAAUACAGGGUCAAGCUUAAUGUCCUUGUUAAAGACAAAGUUCAUAAAUGUGUUUGUAGAUGAAAUUAUGCUGCAAACAAGACUUAAAAAAAAUCUCUAUGUUCAGCUUAUCAAAGCAAAGGCAAAAAGGUGACUGGGCUGUUGUGUCUGGGUGUGUACUUUUAUAUGGAAGAGAUUUGUCAGUCAGGGCAUUUUCACUUGUGCUAACAGCCAUAACAAAAUUUUGUGGCAAAAAAAAUAUGAAUUGGACAAAUUCAGCUUUGGAAUAAAAGGAAAAUUCCUGCAGGUCUCUGAGGGGCAAUUAGGCAUAUGGAACAGUUUACAGCAGCAGAUAAUGAAUUUAUUGCAUGUUGAAGUCUUUAAAACAAAGAUAUCAAAUACUUUUUCUGGAAAUAUCUAUAUAUAUGUAUACUGAAUUUUUGCAGCUUCUGAGGGAUAUCAUUUGCCUUGUAUCAUUUGCAUGGAAUCUAAGGCAAGAAAGCAUGGUGAGGAAGAAUCAAAUCACGAUGCUGUUUUCUGGCACAGAGUCUGUGAGACACUGAAUGGCAGAGAUCCCCCUGCAAGAGUUUGGGGGAACAGAGCUGCCUACAUGGCCCUCAGUGCGCUCACAGUGCUUGCAGCAGGAUGGUAAAACAACAUCUUUUAUCCAGCCCAAACACCAACCCUGUCCAUGUUCUUAAGUCAUGCUGUUUUCUCAUUGUCUUGCUGUUCCCUUGAAUUUUGUAUUCUUUGCUGCACAGCAGCUCAAUUUCAAUAGAAAAAGAAUAAAAAGUGUGCUAAUGUCCACUAACAGAAAAAGAGUAAGAAAAAUAAGAUUUUGUUUUCAGUUCCACAUAUUUACAUCUCUUAUAACUUUACUGAUUGCUAAGUCUAAACUAAUGUCACAUAGUCUGAUUUAACAAACUUAGCAGUAUGAAUAGUUUAGCCAUUGUCAGCAAGACGAAUUGUUAACCUACUUACAUGUUCAAGUACUUUUCUAGUUAUGUGACAGUACUUAGCACAAUGAAGAAAUAAAUCCUUAAAUAUUUUUCUGUCAUUAAUAGAAGUUUAUCAAUUUGCAGAAAAAUAUUUUUUGAGGGAAUACAAAUUUUAAUGUAGGCUAAAGCUCCUUAACACAUUUAUUAAAUCUCUUUUCUUCAAAGACUCAUGUAAUGCUGAUGGGAGGCCUGAGAAUUUGCAGUAAAAGAACCUGUCACUGACUACAAGCUGGAAACCAAUUCCCAGACAGAACAAAAUAUUUUUUCCUUAGGAAAUUUGCUCAGUGUAGUAGUGAACAACAUUACUAGGGCCACUGGGGAUGCCCACGCAUUUAUUUUCUGACUCAGUAACCCAUUUUCCCAGACCAUUAUGGGAACCAGGAGUUCUUGUUUUCUGGAGAGAGUGAGAACCAUACUACACAACACUGGUUAAUGUUUGCUUUCCUAAGUCUCUUAAUUGAAAUAAAAUGUUAUUUCUGUGCUGUUUAUAUUGCAAAAAGAUACAGCUUGGAGAUAAGCAAAUUUAAAGGAAAGGUUGCAUGCUGGAUAAAGGCAGGAUGCAGAAGAUCAGUACUCUUUGGAUUUGUUGUUACUUGGCAUAAACUCACUGUGUGGCCUUGCACGGAUCUCCUAUCCCCGCAGUUAACCCGUAAGUCAACUUACAUGUGCUUAUUUUGUAGCAGUAUUAAAGGCAAAACUAAAGAGUCACUGAAUGAUGUUUCAGCAUUAUUUUGUUUAUUUGGACCCAGUGUAAAUUCUCCCCCAAAUCAGAAUAAGGUCUUUUCUGAAAGCUCAAAGAUGUGGUUUCAAAAACUAUUUUCUAGGGAAAAUACAAGAUUUCAUACCUUAAAUAUACCACCACCCCCAUCAAAUGCUAAUAUUUCCCAAAGGGGAACGUGCAUUUCCAUAUUUGUGUGUGAGAGAGGCUGUGUCAACUAUCACAGCAAGGUUUAUGGAAGUUGAAGUAAGCACUCAAGGUGACCUAUUCCGAUGUUUUAUGUCCAGCCUCCCACCUACUCACUUCAGCAAGGCUUCGUGGAUCGAGGAGAAGUAUUUAAGGGCUGCUACCAUGUUUACUUCCUGCAGUGAAAAACAGAUCACUCUUGAUAACUAUUCACUUGAAGAAAACCCCUGUAAACUGUGUGUUCUAAAAAUCAUUUGGGUUAAUGAUUACUGUAUUUUGACUUCUCUGUUCUAACAAUAAAU